GGUCCAGACUCCUACGGGAGGCAGCAGUGGGGAAUAUUGCACAAUGGGGGAAACCCUGAUGCAGCCAUGCCGCGUGUGUGAAGAAGGCCUUCGGGUUGUAAAGCACUUUCAGCGAGGAGGAAAGGUUGUUGGCUAAUAUCCAACAGCUGUGACGUUACUCGCAGAAGAAGCACCGGCUAACUCCGUGCCAGCAGCCGCGGUAAUACGGAGGGUGCAAGCGUUAAUCGGAAUUACUGGGCGUAAAGCGCACGCAGGCGGUUGGAUAAGUUAGAUGUGA
Molecule: ribosomal RNA, 277 nt
Filed under: Aeromonas sp. SrichE-2G
Lineage: Bacteria; Pseudomonadati; Pseudomonadota; Gammaproteobacteria; Aeromonadales; Aeromonadaceae
Description: partial 16S ribosomal RNA
Rfam family: Bacterial small subunit ribosomal RNA
Source: RNAcentral